Molecule: ribosomal RNA, 418 nt
Filed under: uncultured bacterium
Lineage: Bacteria
Description: bacterial SSU rRNA
Rfam family: Bacterial small subunit ribosomal RNA
Source: RNAcentral
GGACCCGCACAAGUAGUGGAGCAUGUGGUUUAAUUCGAAGAUACGCGCAGAACCUUACCAACACUUGACAUGUUCGUCGCGACUCUAAGAGAUUAGAGUUUUCGGUUCGGCCGGACGAAACACAGGUGCUGCAUGGCUGUCGUCAGCUCGUGUCGUGAGAUGUUGGGUUAAGUCCCGCAACGAGCGCAACCCUCACUUUUAGUUGCCAUCAUUUAGUUGGGCACUCUGAAAGAACUGCCAGUGAUAAGCUGGAGGAAGGUGGGGAUGACGUCAAGUCCUCAUGGCCCUUACGUGUUGGGCUACACACGUGCUACAAUGGUAUCUACAACAGGAAGCAAGACGGCGACGUUUAGCAAAUCCUUAAAAGAUACCUCAGUUCGGAUUGCACUCUGCAACUCGAGUGCAUGAAGCUGGAAUU